This 440-nucleotide ribosomal RNA is filed under the name uncultured bacterium. RNAcentral describes it as "partial 16S ribosomal RNA". It matches the Rfam family "Bacterial small subunit ribosomal RNA", at positions 338 to 795 of the family's 1533-position model. The record is from RNAcentral.
CCUACGGGUGGCAGCAGUGGGGGAUAUUGCACAAUGGGGGAAACCCUGAUGCAGCGACGCCGCGUGGGUGAAGAAGCGCCUCGGCGCGUAAAGCCCUGUCAGCAGGGAAGAAAAUGACGGUACCUGAAGAAGAAGCCCCGGCUAACUACGGCCCAGCAGCCGCGGUAAUACGGAGGGGGCAAGCGUUAUCCGGAUUUACUGGGUGUAAAGGGGGCGCAGGCGGCGAUGCAAGCCAGGAGUGAAAGCCCGGGGCCCAACCCCGGGACUGCUCUUGGAACUGCGUGGCUAGAGUGCAGGAGGGGCAGGCGGAAUUCCUGGUGUAGCGGUGAAAUGCGUAGAUAUCAGGAGGAACACCGGUGGCGAAGGCGGCCUGCUGGACUGCAACUGACGUUGAGGCCCGAAGGCGUGGGGAGCAAACGGGAUUAGAUACCCCAGUAGUC